This 425-nucleotide ribosomal RNA is filed under the name uncultured bacterium. Its description in RNAcentral is "partial 16S ribosomal RNA". It matches the Rfam family "Bacterial small subunit ribosomal RNA", at positions 354 to 796 of the family's 1533-position model. The record is from RNAcentral.
GUGGGGAAUAUUGGACAAUGGGCGCAAGCCUGAUCCAGCCAUGCCGCGUGAGUGAUGAAGGCCUUAGGGUUGUAAAGCUCUUUCGUCAGGGAAGAUAAUGACGGUACCUGAAGAAGAAGCCCCGGCUAACUUCGUGCCAGCAGCCGCGGUAAUACGAAGGGGGCUAGCGUUGCUCGGAAUCACUGGGCGUAAAGCGCACGUAGGCGGCUUUCUAAGUCAGGGGUGAAAUCCUGGAGCUCAACUCCAGAACUGCCUUUGAUACUGGAGAGCUUGAGUUCGGGAGAGGUGAGUGGAACUGCGAGUGUAGAGGUGAAAUUCGUAGAUAUUCGGAGGAACACCAGUGGCGAAGGCGGCUUACUGGUCCAUUACUGACGCUGAGGUGCGAAAGCGUGGGGAGCAAACAGGAUUAGAUACCCCGGUAGUCC